RNAcentral lists this transfer RNA (77 nucleotides) under Clostridiaceae bacterium. RNAcentral's name for it is "tRNA-Phe". It matches the Rfam family "tRNA". From Rfam's summary of the family: Transfer RNA (tRNA) molecules are approximately 80 nucleotides in length. Their secondary structure includes four short double-helical elements and three loops (D, anti-codon, and T loops). Further hydrogen bonds mediate the characteristic L-shaped molecular structure. tRNAs have two regions of fundamental functional importance: the anti-codon, which is responsible for specific mRNA codon recognition, and the 3' end, to which the tRNAs corresponding amino acid is attached (by aminoacyl-tRNA synthetases). tRNAs cope with the degeneracy of the genetic code in two manners: having more than one tRNA (with a specific anti-codon) for a particular amino acid; and 'wobble' base-pairing, i.e. permitting non-standard base-pairing at the 3rd anti-codon position. Lineage: Bacteria; Bacillati; Bacillota; Clostridia; Eubacteriales; Clostridiaceae. The record is from RNAcentral.
GGGUUGAUAGCUUAUGAGGUCUGAGCGACGGUCUGAAAAACCGUAGGAUGAAGGAUCGUUACCUUCUCAACCCACCA